GUUCUUGUAGUUAAAUUAAUAUAACAGCGGUUUUUCAAGCCGCAAGUCCCAGAGAAAGACUGGGCAGGAAUA
This 72-nucleotide transfer RNA is filed under the name Ortygospiza atricollis. Its description in RNAcentral is "tRNA-Glu". It matches the Rfam family "tRNA". Rfam says of the family: Transfer RNA (tRNA) molecules are approximately 80 nucleotides in length. Lineage: Eukaryota; Metazoa; Chordata; Aves; Passeriformes; Estrildidae. The record is from RNAcentral.